AUGGAGGACGCGAAGGAGGACGAAUCGACGGCACCCUCACCGGUGCAUGCCGGCAUCACCAUCGGUGAGGCCCGUGCCCACUACAUGGACAUGGUGCUGGAGGAGCGGGAGGCCAAGUUUCAGCGGGCGCAGGCCGACGAGGCCUACAACCUCCACCCCCUCGACGAGCACCGAUGCACUGAUGAGCAACUCGUCGCCGGCACAGCCAUAGUGUCAGACGUGGAUGCGGCCGAGAAGAAGGCGUUGGUCGACUCCUACCGCACCGCCCGUGAAAUCCGCCACAACCGCUGGUUGUCAUCCAGUAUCAAGCGGAUUUACAAGUCGCCUACAAGGAGAUGGACGAGGCAGCAGAUAAGGUGUUCGACAAGAGCGACGAGUAGGAGGACAUCGCUAGCUCCACCACAGCCGCGCUCCGCCGUCAUGACCAUAAAGCCAGCACGUCCGCGAGCACCACACGUAACAAGAAAAAGUAAAGCAGUGGAAGGUCCAAUACAGUAG
This 498-nucleotide ribosomal RNA is filed under the name Triticum aestivum (bread wheat). RNAcentral describes it as "partial small subunit ribosomal RNA". The record is from RNAcentral. Lineage: Eukaryota; Viridiplantae; Streptophyta; Magnoliopsida; Poales; Poaceae.